UAGUAGUUAGUUUAAUUAAAACAAAUGAUUUCGACUCAUUAAACUAUGCUUAAAUACAUAACUACUAA
This 68-nucleotide transfer RNA is filed under the name Proechimys roberti (Roberto's spiny-rat). RNAcentral describes it as "tRNA-Arg". It matches the Rfam family "tRNA". Rfam says of the family: Transfer RNA (tRNA) molecules are approximately 80 nucleotides in length. Their secondary structure includes four short double-helical elements and three loops (D, anti-codon, and T loops). The record is from RNAcentral. Lineage: Eukaryota; Metazoa; Chordata; Mammalia; Rodentia; Echimyidae.